AGUGAACGCUGGCGGUAGGCCUAACACAUGCAAGUCGAACGGCAGCACAGUAAGAGCUUGCUCUUACGGGUGGCGAGUGGCGGACGGGUGAGGAAUACAUCGGAAUCUACUUUUUCGUGGGGGAUAACGUAGGGAAACUUACGCUAAUACCGCAUACGACCUACGGGUGAAAGCAGGGGAUCUUCGGAACUUGCGCGAUUGAAUGAGCCGAUGUCGGAUUAGCUAGUUGGCGGGGUAAAGGCCCACCAAGGCGACGAUCCGUAGCUGGUCUGAGAGGAUGAUCAGCCACACUGGAACUGAGACACGGUCCAGACUCCUACGGGAGGCAGCAGUGGGGAAUAUUGGACAAUGGGCGCAAGCCUGAUCCAGCCAUACCGCGUGGGUGAAGAAGGCCUUCGGGUUGUAAAGCCCUUUUGUUUGGAAAGAAAAGCAGCAGGUUAAUACCCCGCUGUUCUGACGGUACCCAAAGAAUAAGCACCGGCUAACUUCGUG
This 492-nucleotide ribosomal RNA is filed under the name uncultured bacterium. Its description in RNAcentral is "partial 16S ribosomal RNA". It matches the Rfam family "Bacterial small subunit ribosomal RNA", at positions 29 to 507 of the family's 1533-position model. The record is from RNAcentral.